UCCAGGGUGUAAAUAUAAAAAGCUAGGGAACUACGAACAGGAAAGUUUAAAACUCAAAGAGCUUGGCGGUGCUGCACACAUAUUAGGGGAGCCUGUUCCGUAAGCGAUGAUCCGCGAGAAACCUGACCCUUUCUAAUAGCCUAUAUAUCGUCGUCGUCAGUCAACUUUUUAAGAAUAUAGGGGUAGGCGAGAUAGUGUGUGCGUGCUAUGAGUAGUUAUACAUGUGCAAUACUAUGAUGUCAGAUCGAGAUAUAGCCAAUGGAAGGGGGAGAAUGGGCUACAUUUUAAAUAUAAAAUCGGACAAUUAUUGAAAUAUGAUUGGUAAGGUGGACUUAAAAGUAAAAUUGUUUAUAGAGACAUUUUGAAUGUCUGGAGCAGCGUGUACAAAUCGCCCGUCACUCUCGUUGAAAAAUGAGAUAAGUCGUAACAUAGUAGAGGUACUGGAAAGUGCUUCUGG
This 457-nucleotide ribosomal RNA is filed under the name Petaloconchus varians. RNAcentral's name for it is "partial 12S ribosomal RNA". It matches the Rfam family "Bacterial small subunit ribosomal RNA", at positions 875 to 1520 of the family's 1533-position model. The record is from RNAcentral. Lineage: Eukaryota; Metazoa; Mollusca; Gastropoda; Littorinimorpha; Vermetidae.